Molecule: ribosomal RNA, 483 nt
Filed under: uncultured bacterium
Lineage: Bacteria
Description: partial 16S ribosomal RNA
Rfam family: Bacterial small subunit ribosomal RNA
Source: RNAcentral
GAUGAACGCUGGCGGCGUGCCUAACACAUGCAAGUCGAACGGAGUCGUGUUGGAAAUCUCUUCGGAGAGGGAAUUCGCGACGUAGUGGCGGACGGGUGAGUAACGCGUGAGCAAUCUGCCGUGGAGAGGUGGAUAACAGUCGGAAACGGCUGCUAAUACCGCUUCAAUCAUUAAAUUCGCAUGUUUUUGAUGCCAAAGGAGCAAUCCGCUUUUAGAUGGGCUCGCGUCUGAUUAGCUAGUGGGCGGGGUAACGGCCCACCCCGGCGACGAACAGUAGCCAGGCUGAGAGGUUGAACGCCCCCAUUGGGACUGAGACACGGCCCAGACACCUACGCGAGGCAGAAGUGGAGAAUAUUUCGCAAUGGGGGCGACCCUCACGCAGAGACGCCGCGUGAUAGAAGUAGGGCUUCGCGUUGUAAAGAUCUUUGAUCAGGGACGAAACACAUGACGGUACCUGAAGAAUAAGCUCCGGCUAACUACGUG